GACAGAGGGUGCAAGCGUUGUUCGGAAUUAUUGGGCGUAAAGGGCGCGUAGGCGGCUUUGUAAGUCAGAUGUGAAAUCCCAGGGCUUAACCCUGGAAGUGCAUCUGAUACUGCUUGGCUUGAGUCCUGGAGAGGGUGGUGGAAUUCCUGGUGUAGAGGUGAAAUGCAUAGAUACAAUCAAGAACACCGAUUGCGUAGGCAGCUUACUAGGCUGUAACUGACGCUGAGGCACGAAAGCGUGGGGAGCGAACAGG
This 253-nucleotide ribosomal RNA is filed under the name uncultured bacterium. RNAcentral's name for it is "partial 16S ribosomal RNA". It matches the Rfam family "Bacterial small subunit ribosomal RNA", at positions 524 to 776 of the family's 1533-position model. The record is from RNAcentral.